Molecule: transfer RNA, 77 nt
Filed under: Penicillium nalgiovense
Lineage: Eukaryota; Fungi; Ascomycota; Eurotiomycetes; Eurotiales; Aspergillaceae
Description: tRNA-Arg
Rfam family: tRNA
About the family: Transfer RNA (tRNA) molecules are approximately 80 nucleotides in length. Their secondary structure includes four short double-helical elements and three loops (D, anti-codon, and T loops). Further hydrogen bonds mediate the characteristic L-shaped molecular structure. tRNAs have two regions of fundamental functional importance: the anti-codon, which is responsible for specific mRNA codon recognition, and the 3' end, to which the tRNAs corresponding amino acid is attached (by aminoacyl-tRNA synthetases). tRNAs cope with the degeneracy of the genetic code in two manners: having more than one tRNA (with a specific anti-codon) for a particular amino acid; and 'wobble' base-pairing, i.e. permitting non-standard base-pairing at the 3rd anti-codon position.
Source: RNAcentral
GGUGGCCGCUUGGCCUAAUGGUUAGGGCACCCGACUCCUAAUCGGGAGAUUGUGAGUUCGAAUCUCACAGUGGUCGC